GACGAACGCUGGCUGCGUGCUUAACACAUGCAAGUCGAACGCUGAAGCCCGAAGCUUGCUUCGGGUGGAUGAGUGGCGAACGGGUGAGUAACACGUGAGUAACCUGCCCCUGAUUUCGGGAUAAGCCUGGGAAACUGGGUCUAAUACCGGAUACGACCACCUGACGCAUGUCGGGUGGUGGAAAGUUUUUCGAUCGGGGAUGGGCUCGCGGCCUAUCAGCUUGUUGGUGGGGUAAUGGCCUACCAAGGCGACGACGGGUAGCCGGCCUGAGAGGGCGACCGGCCACACUGGGACUGAGACACGGCCCAGACUCCUACGGGAGGCAGCAGUGGGGAAUAUUGCACAAUGGGGGAAACCCUGAUGCAGCGACGCAGCGUGCGGGAUGACGGCCUUCGGGUUGUAAACCGCUUUCAGCAGGGAAGAAGCGAAAGCGACGGUACCUGCAGAAGAAGUACCGGCUAACUACGUGCCAGCAGCCGCCGUAA
This 485-nucleotide ribosomal RNA is filed under the name uncultured bacterium. RNAcentral describes it as "partial 16S ribosomal RNA". It matches the Rfam family "Bacterial small subunit ribosomal RNA", at positions 28 to 523 of the family's 1533-position model. The record is from RNAcentral.